Molecule: ribosomal RNA, 2955 nt
Filed under: oral metagenome
Description: bacterial LSU rRNA
Rfam family: Bacterial large subunit ribosomal RNA
Source: RNAcentral
UUAAGAUACUAAGAGCAAAUGGGGGAUACCUUGGCGUACAGAGCAGACGAAGGACGUGGAUAGCUGCGAUAAGCUUCGGGGAGCCGCUAACAGGCUUUGAUCCGGAGAUUUCCGAAUGGGGAAACCUUCUACGGGUUGUACCGUAGAACCCAUAUCUGAAUGCAUAGGAUAUGAGGAGGCAAGCAGGGGAAUUGAAACAUCUUAGUACCCUGAAGAAAGGAAAUUAAAUCAAAGACUCCCUUAGUAGCGGCGAGCGAACGGGGAUCAGCCUAAAUUUACUAGGUGUCAAGCUGACAGGCGUUGCCUAGUAUUGGUCGUGGGACAUAGUUUGAAAGUACUGUCAUACUUUCGAGAAGUUACAAAAGUUUGUGUUAGAUGAAGCUUCUGGAAAGAAGCGCCACAGAGAGUGAAAGCCUCGUAGUCGAAAGCACAGGCACUUCUUUAUUAUGCUCCCGAGUAGAACGGGACACGUGAAAUCCUGUUUGAAUCUGGGUGGACCAUCAUCCAAGGCUAAGUACUCCUGUACGACCGAUAGUGAACCAGUACCGUGAGGGAAAGGUGAAAAGAACCCCUUUUAGGGGAGUGAAAUAGAAUAUGAAACCAUUUGCUUACAAGCAGUCGGAGCUCUUCGGAGUGACGGCGUGCCUAUUGAAGAAUGAGCCGGCGACUUAUGGGCAGUAGCAAGGUUAAGCUAAAAGCGGAGCCGUAGCGAAAGCAAGUCUGAAUAGGGCGAUUUAGUUACUGUUUAUAGACCCGAAGCCAAGUGAUCUAUCCAUGGGCAGGAUGAAGCCUCUGUAACAGGAGGUGGAGGUCCGAACCGUUGUAUGUUGAAAAAUGCUCGGAUGACCUGUGGAUAGCGCUGAAAUUGCAAUCGAACUUGGCGAUAGCUGGUUCUCCCCGAAAUGACUUUAGGGUCAGCCUCGGACGAAGACUAUUGGGGGUAGAGCACUGUUUGGGCUAGGGGGCUCACCAAAGCCUACCAAACCCAGGCAAACUCCGAAUACCAAUAGUUACUAUCCGGGAGUGAGAACAUGGGGGAUAAGCUCCAUGAUCAAAAGGGAAACAGCCCAGACCAUCAGUUAAGGUCCCUAAACUAUACUAAGUGGCAAAGGAAGUUAGAACUCAGACACAACCAGGAGGUUGGCUUAGAAGCAGCCAUCCUUUAAAGAAAGCGUAAUAGCUCACUGGUCUAGUCUUCUAGCGCCGAAGAUGUAACGGGGCUAAGUAUAGUACCGAAACUAUGGCAAUUUGUCUUCGGAUAAAUUGGGUAGGGGAGCGUUCCAUGUUAGGUUGAAGUCAGACCGUAAGGUCUGGUGGACGAGAUGGAAGUGAGAAUGUCGGCAUGAGUAACGAAAAAACAAGUGAGAAUCUUGUUCGCCGAAAAUCUAAGGUUUCCUGGGCAAGGUUCGUCCUCCCAGGGUUAGUCGGUCCUAAGUUCAGGCUGAAGGGCGUAGACGAUGGACAACAGGUUAAUAUUCCUGUACCAGUGUAUUGCAUUAUUACCGAUGGAGGGACGCAGAAGGCUAGGCAAGGCCAGUUAUUGGAUUCUGGUUUAAGCAUGUAGGGGUAAGAGAUAGGCAAAUCCGUCUCUUUUUAACUCUGAGACGUUAUGACGUAAGCUGCUGAUGCCGCACUGACAAGAAAAUCUUCUAGGGAGUAAUAUACUGACCGUACUAAAACCGACACAGGUAGAUAGGUAGAGAAUACUAAGGCGCGCGAGACAACUCUCGUUAAGGAACUCGGCAAAAUACACCCGUAACUUUGGGAUAAGGGUGGCCACAUUAGGGUGAAGGUCCUGCGACCGGAGCUUGAAGUGGCGGCACAACCCAGGUGUUAGCGACUGUUUAUCAAAAACACAGGUCUCUGCUAAGCCGAAAGGCGAUGUAUAGGGGCUGACGCCUGCCCAGUGCUGGAAGGUUAAGAGGAGCGGUUAGUUUUCGGACGAAGCUGCGAAUCGAAGCCCCAGUGAACGGCGGCCGUAACUAUAACGGUCCUAAGGUAGCGAAAUUCCUUGUCAGGUAAGUUCUGACCCGCACGAAUGGCGUAACGACUUGCACACUGUCUUAACGAGAGACUCGGUGAAAUUGGAGUGUUGGUGAAGAUACCAACUACCUGCGGCAGGACAGAAAGACCCCGUGGAGCUUUACUAUAGCUUGGCUUUGAGUUUUGAAAUGAUUUGUGCAGCAUAGGUGGGAGGCUUUGAUUCCGGAACGCUAGUUUCGGUUGAGCCAUCGUUGAGAUACCACCCUUGUUAUUUUGGAAUUCUAAUCCUGACCCAUUAUCUGGGCAGGAGACAGAGUCUGGUGGGUAGUUUGACUGGGGCGGUCGCCUCCUAAAAAGUAACGGAGGUGCUCAAAGGUUCCCUCAGAGCGGUCGGAAAUCGCUUGUAGAGUGUAAGAGCAUAAGGGAGCUUAACUGUGAGAGAGACAUUUCGAGCAGAUACGAAAGUAGGAUCUAGUGAUCCGGUGACUCCGGAUGGAAGGGUCAUCGCUCAACGGAUAAAAGUUACCCCGGGGAUAACAGGCUGAUUCCUCCCAAGAGUCCAUAUCGACGGAGGAGUUUGGCACCUCGAUGUCGGCUCGUCACAUCCUGGAGCUGGAGCAGGUUCCAAGGGUUGGGCUGUUCGCCCAUUAAAGUGGUACGUGAGCUGGGUUCAGAACGUCGUGAGACAGUUUGGUCCAUAUCCGCCGUAGGCGCUAGAAAUUUGAGAGGAGCUGACCCUAGUACGAGAGGACCGGGUUGGACAGACCUCUGGUGUACCAGUUAUUCCGCCAGGAGUAUAUGCUGGGUAGCUACGUUUGGAUCAGAUAAUCGCUGAAAGCAUCUAAGCGAGAAACUGACCUCAAGAUUAGAUUUCUUUUAAGACCCCCUGUAGACGACAGGGUUGAUAGGCUGGAGGUGUACGCACAGUAAUGUGUUUAGCUGACCAGUACUAAUAGGUCGUAGUCUUUCUUA